GGGGCGGGAGGCGGCGGGCGGGGCCCGGCGGGGCGGGGCGGGCGCGUGCAGACCAGGGAUCCGCCGGGAUCCGCCCGCUGUUCCCCCCGCGAUCCCGCUGUGUCUUGCCUGGUGUCCCGCCGUAUCCCCUCGCGUCCCGCCGCACCACAGCGCGACCAUGUCCAAGUCGCUGAAGAAGAUCGUGGAGGAGAGCAGGGAGAAGAACCAGCCCGAGGUGGACAUGUGCGACCGGGGCAUCUCCAGCAUGCUGGACGUGCCUGGCCUGUUUACGUUGUCUCAUAUCACACAGCUAGUUCUGAGUCACAACAAACUUACAUCUGUGCCAGCAAACAUCGCAGACCUGAGAAAUAUAGAAGUGCUCAACUUUUUCAACAACCAGAUUGAGGAGCUGCCUACACAGAUUAGCAGCCUUCAGAAGCUCAAACAUCUGAACCUUGGCAUGAACAGGCUAAACACCUUGCCAAGGGGAUUUGGAUCUUUACCAGCUCUAGAAGUUCUUGACUUGACUUACAACAACUUAAAUGAAAAUUCCCUACCAGGAAACUUCUUCUAUCUAACCACCCUGCGUGCACUCUAUCUAAGUGACAACGAUUUUGAAAUCCUGCCGCCAGAUAUUGGGAAGCUCACAAAGUUGCAGAUACUGAGUCUUAGAGACAAUGACCUGAUAUCACUGCCUAAAGAAAUUGGUGAGCUCACCCAGCUUAAGGAACUGCAUAUCCAGGGAAAUCGUCUUACUGUGCUACCCCCAGAACUGGGUAAUUUGGAUUUGACUGGUCAAAAGCAAGUCUUCAAAGCAGAGAACAAUCCUUGGGUUACCCCUAUUGCUGACCAGUUCCAGCUUGGAGUAUCUCAUGUUUUUGAAUACAUUCGUUCAGAAACAUAUAAAUAGCCAGUGUCAGGAAGAUGGGCAGCAGCGAGGAUUUGAGUGGAUCCUGUGGUGAUAGGCGUGGUGAAAAUGGAUGCUCAGUGCUGGAUGAAAGCCUUUUUAUUUGCAAGCUGACUGGCAGCAAGAAUUAAGCCCUUGAUCCCACAUCCUUUAUAUUGGUCAGUGGAACAGUGCCAUAAGCAGAUUGCUCAGUCUUUAUGGCAGACACAUGCAGGCAAACCCUGAACCUCCAAAGAAGAACAAUGACAAGUCAAAGAAGAUCAGCCGUAAGCCUCUGGCAGCCAAGAACAAAUAAGUGCCUGGCUUCUGCCUCUGUUUUUAUAUCUUCUACAUUGCUUUUGCAUGUGCUUAUAAUAUUCCCUCACAUCUCCUGUUGCUUAUAAGAAAGCAGAGACUAGAAUUAAAUGCAAUUUACUAUGUAUACCGCUUUAGAAGGUACUGCUAGAGGGAUACAAAUUUAUAUAUUCUCCUAAUUAUGGUCACAUUUAUGUAGCCAUUUAAUACAUCACUGUUGAACAUAUUUUAGCUUUUCUAUUUAUAUGUAUAUUAAUGUCCUCUCUUCACAUGUGUCACAUGCUGUUAAUAUCAGGGGGUUUACACCUAUAUUAUAUGAUACUAAAUUUCAUAUUAUAUUCCAAUUGAUUUUAAUAAAGUUUUUAAUUUGUA
Pseudopipra pipra is the source of this 1552-nucleotide RNA transcript. It is a transcript of the gene named Ras suppressor protein 1, with no coding region annotated. The record is from RefSeq and is a predicted model, not a curated record. Lineage: Eukaryota; Metazoa; Chordata; Aves; Passeriformes; Pipridae. The transcript is spliced from 10 exons.